AAGAGGCUCGUGCUCAAGAAAUGCAAGCAAAGAAUGCUGCCCUUGGAAAGAAAGUGAAAGAAACUUCAGCUACAAAGGUUAUCAAGGGCCGAGGUGAGGCUUCCUUUUACAGAGUUACAUGCAAGGAUAAUGGAAAAGGAAUGCCACAUGAUGACAUCCCAAAUAUGUUUGGCCGAGUUCUAUCCGGGACAAAAUAUGGUUUAAAACAGACGCGGGGAAA
This is a non-coding RNA of Cajanus cajan (pigeon pea), 220 nucleotides long. NCBI's taxonomy places the organism in Eukaryota, Viridiplantae, Streptophyta, Magnoliopsida, Fabales, Fabaceae. The record is from RefSeq and is a predicted model, not a curated record.